AUGUGCAUCGCAUUUGCAUACAUGUUCGUCUCAUGCAUCCGAGCAUUUUCUCCAUUGUCCGUUUUGCUUUCCGGCGCUCCUAUGUCAUCCGGUGUCCCCUUUUACCUCUUUUUGUGUGCGGGUGUUAAACGUUCUCGUAUUGGACCGAGACUUUCCAAGCGGCCUUGGUAUACUACCGGUAGACCGCCUGUCAAAUUUCGUACCAUUUUGACUUCGUUUGAUACUCCAACGGUUAACCGAGGAACCGAAAAAGCCUCGUGUGUGUUUCAGCCCAACACCCCUCCAAAGUGGCCCAAAACAGAUGCAGGGACCGAUGAUACCGCUCCAGGAGAUGCGACUGAGCUCAAGUGGGAGUUCGAUGAGGACUCGGGACAAUACUACGUUUCCUUUCCAGACGAUCAGUAG
RNAcentral lists this ribosomal RNA (405 nucleotides) under Triticum aestivum (bread wheat). RNAcentral describes it as "partial small subunit ribosomal RNA". Lineage: Eukaryota; Viridiplantae; Streptophyta; Magnoliopsida; Poales; Poaceae. The record is from RNAcentral.